This 490-nucleotide ribosomal RNA is filed under the name uncultured bacterium. RNAcentral describes it as "partial 16S ribosomal RNA". It matches the Rfam family "Bacterial small subunit ribosomal RNA", at positions 30 to 507 of the family's 1533-position model. The record is from RNAcentral.
AUUGAACGCUGGCGGCAGGCCUAACACAUGCAAGUCGAACGGUAACAGGAAGCAGCUUGCUGCUUUGCUGACGAGUGGCGGACGGGUGAGUAAUGUCUGGGAAACUGCCCGAUGGAGGGGGGUAACUACUGGAAACGGUAGCGAAUACCGCAUAACGUCGCAAGACCAAAGAGGGGGACCUUAGGGCCUCUUGCCAGCGGAUGUGCCCAGAUGGGAUUAGCUAGUAGGUGGGGUAACGGCUCACCUAGGCGACGAUCCCUAGCUGGUCUGAGAGGAUGACCAGCCACACUGGAACUGAGACACGGUCCAGACUCCUACGGGAGGCAGCAGUGGGGAAUAUUGCACAAUGGGCGCAAGCCUGAUGCAGCCAUGCCGCGUGUAUGAAGAAGGCCUUCGGGUUGUAAAGUACUUUCAGCGGGGAGGAAGGGAGUAAAGUUAAUACCUUUGCUCAUUGACGUUACCCGCAGAAGAAGCACCGGCUAACUCCGUG